AACUGAAGAGUUUGAUCAUGGCUCAGAUUGAACGCUGGCGGCAGGCUUAACACAUGCAAGUCGAGCGGGGGAAGGUAGCUUGCUACCGGACCUAGCGGCGGACGGGUGAGUAAUGCUUAGGAAUCUGCCUAUUAGUGGGGGACAACAUCUCGAAAGGGAUGCUAAUACCGCAUACGUCCUACGGGAGAAAGCAGGGGAUCUUCGGACCUUGCGCUAAUAGAUGAGCCUAAGUCGGAUUAGCUAGUUGGUGGGGUAAAGGYCUACCAAGGCGACGAUCUGUAGCGGGUCUGAGAGGAUGAUCCGCCACACUGGGACUGAGACACGGCCCAGACUCCUACGGGAGGCAGCAGUGGGGAAUAUUGGACAAUGGGGGGAACCCUGAUCCAGCCAUGCCGCGUGUGUGAAGAAGGCCUUAUGGUUGUAAAGCACUUUAAGCGAGGAGGAGGCUACUCUAGUUAAUACCUAGAGAUAGUGGACGUUACUCGCAGAAUAAGCACCGGCUAACUCUGUGCCAGCAGCCGCGGUAAUACAGAGGGUGCGAGCGUUAAUCGGAUUUACUGGGCGUAAAGCGUGCGUAGGCGGCUUAUUAAGUCGGAUGUGAAAUCCCCGAGCUUAACUUGGGAAUUGCAUUCGAUACUGGUGAGCUAGAGUAUGGGAGAGGAUGGUAGAAUUCCAGGUGUAGCGGUGAAAUGCGUAGAGAUCUGGAGGAAUACCGAUGGCGAAGGCAGCCAUCUGGCC
This 738-nucleotide ribosomal RNA is filed under the name Acinetobacter baumannii. Its description in RNAcentral is "bacterial SSU rRNA". It matches the Rfam family "Bacterial small subunit ribosomal RNA", at positions 1 to 734 of the family's 1533-position model. Lineage: Bacteria; Pseudomonadati; Pseudomonadota; Gammaproteobacteria; Moraxellales; Moraxellaceae. The record is from RNAcentral.